GUUUUGGAAUUAGCUUCGUUCAUGAGGAAGUUUGAAUGCUAAGUAGUUGCGAAGAUAGAACAUUGCAUUAUUGGAAAUUUGAAUGUUUUCUUAGUUUUAACAGCCUCUUUUAAUUGCUUGGAACUGAGAAUUUGAAUUCUGCUGCCACUUUUUCUUCUCGGAGUUGUGAGAAUUACAUUGCGAAAACUGCUUGGCUAUCGUGCAAAUGUAGAUCAUCGCAAAUUUUCUAAUGAUGCAUUUUUUGUCGAUGCUUGAAACGGAUGAAUUGUUUUUUUAAUGUUGUGUGCGUGUAGUUCCUGGAAGAGUUAGGGUAGC
RNAcentral lists this unclassified non-coding RNA (315 nucleotides) under Hevea brasiliensis (rubber tree). The record is from RNAcentral. Lineage: Eukaryota; Viridiplantae; Streptophyta; Magnoliopsida; Malpighiales; Euphorbiaceae.